RNAcentral lists this ribosomal RNA (465 nucleotides) under Vreelandella stevensii. Its description in RNAcentral is "partial 16S ribosomal RNA". It matches the Rfam family "Bacterial small subunit ribosomal RNA", at positions 338 to 795 of the family's 1533-position model. The record is from RNAcentral. Lineage: Bacteria; Pseudomonadati; Pseudomonadota; Gammaproteobacteria; Oceanospirillales; Halomonadaceae.
CCUACGGGGGGCAGCAGUGGGGAAUAUUGGACAAUGGGGGCAACCCUGAUCCAGCCAUGCCGCGUGUGUGAAGAAGGCCCUCGGGUUGUAAAGCACUUUCAGUGAGGAAGAACGCCUGGUGGUUAAUACCCAUCAGGAAAGACAUCACUCACAGAAGAAGCACCGGCUAACUCCGUGCCAGCAGCCGCGGUAAUACGGAGGGUGCGAGCGUUAAUCGGAAUUACUGGGCGUAAAGCGAGCGUAGGUGGCUUGAUAAGCCGGUUGUGAAAGCCCCGGGCUCAACCUGGGAACGGCAUCCGGAACUGUCAAGCUAGAGUGCAGGAGAGGAAGGUAGAAUUCCCGGUGUAGCGGUGAAAUGCGUAGAGAUCGGGAGGAAUACCAGUGGCGAAGGCGGCCUUCUGGACUGACACUGACACUGAGGUGCGAAAGCGUGGGUAGCAAACAGGAUUAGAUACCCUAGUAGUC